AUGCAGAUGGCGAGACAAGUUCGCUCCCAGGACCCUGGACACCGGCGGGUGCUGGACCGGGCCGCCAGGCAGCGGAGGAUCAAUCACCAGCUGGAAGCAUUAGAGAAUGACAACUUCCAGGAUGACCUCCAUGCCGGCCUCCCGCAGCUGGGCAAGAGGCUCCCUCAGUUUGAUGAUGAUGCAGACACAGGAAAGAAAAAGAAGAAAACUCGAGGGGACCACUUUAAACUUCGCUUCCGGAAAAACUUCCAGGCUUUGCUGGAGGAACAGAACCUGAGUGCAUCCGAGGGCCCCAACUACUUGACAGCCUGUGCUGGGCCCCCUUCCCGGCCCCAGCGUCCCUUCUGUGCAGUGUGUGGCUUCCCAUCCCCGUAUACCUGUGUAAGCUACGGUGCUCGGUACUGCACAGUGCGCUGCCUGGGCACCCAUCAGGAGACCCGGUGUCUGAAGUGGACUGUAUAAACCUGCCAUUAGGGAGAGGAAUUAUCCCCUACCCUCCCCAACCCACCCCAGCUCACCCACAAAGAGCAGAGACAGGAACUACCCAGCAAAGCUGUGUCCUCCCAACCAAGGAAGGCCACACGGACCCCAGGAACUGUUGUGGGGGUGGUGCAGCCCACAGAGUGCUAUGAUAAUAAAUGGCAUGGUAAAAGGAAAA
RNA transcript from Grammomys surdaster, 658 nucleotides. It is a transcript of the gene named zinc finger HIT domain-containing protein 1 pseudogene, with no coding region annotated. Lineage: Eukaryota; Metazoa; Chordata; Mammalia; Rodentia; Muridae. The transcript has a single exon. The record is from RefSeq and is a predicted model, not a curated record.